Cavia porcellus (domestic guinea pig) is the source of this 1216-nucleotide long non-coding RNA. RefSeq lists it as uncharacterized. The record is from RefSeq and is a predicted model, not a curated record. The transcript has 8 exons. Lineage: Eukaryota; Metazoa; Chordata; Mammalia; Rodentia; Caviidae.
GCCACGAUCGCGCGUGUGCAAUGGGCCAAUCCCGCGGAAACGCUCGGGAUCCUGCACCUGCGCGGUACCUCCCGCGUGUAUCACCCAGGUCUGGCAGAGGGCGCGGCAGAUAGCGCAUGUGCCACCUGCCACCUCACUCCUCCGGAUUACGUGUCUAGACCAGUGGUGGAGAAUCCGUACUACUUCAACCAAAAACUCACACUUUAAAGGGAAAUGUCAAGUCAUCCCCCUCUCAUGUGGGCCUCUAAGAAACAAGUUUGACUCUAGAGAUGUGAACUGAAGUAAUGACCUCCUGAAACUUGAUCAUGGUCAAGAGAAGAUGCCCCUGCUGACUGUAAACAAAGUGUCCUUCACUGUUCAAGCAAAAGAAUGCUUUGGUCUUCUUGGCCUCAGUGGAGCCGGAAAAACCUCCAUUUUCAAAAAUGCUGACUGGGAGGAGUCUAUCACCACUGGAGUUGCCUUUGUUAGGGGGCUCAGAAACAGCUGUAACCUAGGGAAGCAGUUGCCUGCACAUUUGUCUUCUAGAGGAAGCCUGUCUCUAGCAACCAAAGCCCCUUCCUUAGUGUGUGAAGUUUGCAAACUUUCUUCUUCAGGCCUGGGAAUUUAGCUCAGUGGCACAAACGCCUGUCUGGUAGAAAAGCACACCUCCCAACAGCCAUGGAGAUCCUCAGAGAAGACUCUGCCUACACGCUCACCAUAGAAUAAUCUCUGUGUUCAGAGAAACAGUUUAGAUCUCCAGUAAAAUUGCCCAGUGGGAAAAAGUGGUACAGCCAGCAUCUCUGUAGGUCUGUAUGGCAGAAAUGUCAAUAGCUGGUGCAAAACCUGCCAGGAGAUUCCUGGGCACUGCACAUGGACCAUACUCUCUGCACGGGAAUCAGGAACAAGACAGUGUCCUGAAAGGUGAAUACCAAGGCAUGGUCCACUACAACCUGGCUGGCCACAAUCUGAGCUGGCAAAGGUGUUUGGCGUUCUGGAACAAGCCAAGAAAAAGUGUAUGACAGAAGACUACUCUUUCAGCCAGAUUUCCCUGGAGACCAACUUCUUGCUUGUCACCAGCCCUGUGUCCCCCACUCAAGUUAAAGGGUGAGCAGAGCCAGCUUGCCCCUCAUCACCCUCAUGGGGUCCCUCUUGGCCUUCCUCAUCUUCUCUUUGCCAUACUCGCUCACACCCUCCUUCAGAACAUGUUCUACUGUAAUAAAGACCUUGGUGCAUGCUA